UGCAAGUCGAACGUGAAAACCUUCGGGUGAGUAAAGUGGCGUACGGGUGAGUAACGCGUGGGUAAUCUACCCCAAAGCCUGGAAUAACUUGCCGAAAGGCGAGCUAAUACCGGAUAGAGCGAAGAGGUCAUAAAGGCCUUUUCGGGAAAGGGAGCUUCGGCCCCCUCUUUGGGAUGAGCUUGCGUCUCAUUAGCUUGUAGGUGGGGUAAAGGCCUACCUAGGCAACGAUGGGUAGCUGGUCUGAGAGGAUGAUCAGCCACACUGGUACUGAAACACGGACCAGACUCCUACGGGAGGCAGCAGUGGGGAAUAUUGCGCAAUGGACGAAAGUCUGACGCAGCAACGCCGCGUGAGUGAAGACGGCCUUAGGGUUGUAAAGCUCUGUCGCAAGGGACGAACAUCCUAGUGGUUCAUAGCCAUUAGGUCUGACGGUACCUUGAAAGGAAGCACCGGCUAACUCCGUGCCAGCAGCCGCGGUAAUACGGAGGGUGCAAGCGUUGUUCGGAAUUAUUGGGCGUAAAGGGGAGGCAGGCGGUCCCAUUUGUCUGAGGUGAAAUCCCAGGGCUCAACCCUGGAAGUGCCCCAGAAACGGUGGGACUGGAAUAAUGGAGAGGGUAGUGGAAUUCCCGGUGUAGCGGUGAAAUGCGUAGAGAUCGGGAGGAACACCAGAUGCGAAGGCGACUACCUGGACAUUUAUUGACGCUGAACUCCGAAAGCGUGGGGAGCAAACAGGAUUAGAUACCCUGGUAGUCCACGCCGUAAACGAUGUGCAUUA
Molecule: ribosomal RNA, 775 nt
Filed under: uncultured bacterium
Lineage: Bacteria
Description: bacterial SSU rRNA
Rfam family: Bacterial small subunit ribosomal RNA
Source: RNAcentral